RNAcentral lists this ribosomal RNA (2318 nucleotides) under Escherichia coli Tx3800. RNAcentral's name for it is "bacterial LSU rRNA". It matches the Rfam family "Bacterial large subunit ribosomal RNA", at positions 625 to 2925 of the family's 2925-position model. Lineage: Bacteria; Pseudomonadati; Pseudomonadota; Gammaproteobacteria; Enterobacterales; Enterobacteriaceae. The record is from RNAcentral.
GACUUAUAUUCUGUAGCAAGGUUAACCGAAUAGGGGAGCCGAAGGGAAACCGAGUCUUAACUGGGCGUUAAGUUGCAGGGUAUAGACCCGAAACCCGGUGAUCUAGCCAUGGGCAGGUUGAAGGUUGGGUAACACUAACUGGAGGACCGAACCGACUAAUGUUGAAAAAUUAGCGGAUGACUUGUGGCUGGGGGUGAAAGGCCAAUCAAACCGGGAGAUAGCUGGUUCUCCCCGAAAGCUAUUUAGGUAGCGCCUCGUGAAUUCAUCUCCGGGGGUAGAGCACUGUUUCGGCAAGGGGGUCAUCCCGACUUACCAACCCGAUGCAAACUGCGAAUACCGGAGAAUGUUAUCACGGGAGACACACGGCGGGUGCUAACGUCCGUCGUGAAGAGGGAAACAACCCAGACCGCCAGCUAAGGUCCCAAAGUCAUGGUUAAGUGGGAAACGAUGUGGGAAGGCCCAGACAGCCAGGAUGUUGGCUUAGAAGCAGCCAUCAUUUAAAGAAAGCGUAAUAGCUCACUGGUCGAGUCGGCCUGCGCGGAAGAUGUAACGGGGCUAAACCAUGCACCGAAGCUGCGGCAGCGACACUGUGUGUUGUUGGGUAGGGGAGCGUUCUGUAAGCCUGUGAAGGUGUGCUGUGAGGCAUGCUGGAGGUAUCAGAAGUGCGAAUGCUGACAUAAGUAACGAUAAAGCGGGUGAAAAGCCCGCUCGCCGGAAGACCAAGGGUUCCUGUCCAACGUUAAUCGGGGCAGGGUGAGUCGACCCCUAAGGCGAGGCCGAAAGGCGUAGUCGAUGGGAAACAGGUUAAUAUUCCUGUACUUGGUGUUACUGCGAAGGGGGGACGGAGAAGGCUAUGUUGGCCGGGCGACGGUUGUCCCGGUUUAAGCGUGUAGGCUGGUUUUCCAGGCAAAUCCGGAAAAUCAAGGCUGAGGCGUGAUGACGAGGCACUACGGUGCUGAAGCAACAAAUGCCCUGCUUCCAGGAAAAGCCUCUAAGCAUCAGGUAACAUCAAAUCGUACCCCAAACCGACACAGGUGGUCAGGUAGAGAAUACCAAGGCGCUUGAGAGAACUCGGGUGAAGGAACUAGGCAAAAUGGUGCCGUAACUUCGGGAGAAGGCACGCUGAUAUGUAGGUGAAGUCCCUCGCGGAUGGAGCUGAAAUCAGUCGAAGAUACCAGCUGGCUGCAACUGUUUAUUAAAAACACAGCACUGUGCAAACACGAAAGUGGACGUAUACGGUGUGACGCCUGCCCGGUGCCGGAAGGUUAAUUGAUGGGGUCAGCGCAAGCGAAGCUCUUGAUCGAAGCCCCGGUAAACGGCGGCCGUAACUAUAACGGUCCUAAGGUAGCGAAAUUCCUUGUCGGGUAAGUUCCGACCUGCACGAAUGGCGUAAUGAUGGCCAGGCUGUCUCCACCCGAGACUCAGUGAAAUUGAACUCGCUGUGAAGAUGCAGUGUACCCGCGGCAAGACGGAAAGACCCCGUGAACCUUUACUAUAGCUUGACACUGAACAUUGAGCCUUGAUGUGUAGGAUAGGUGGGAGGCUUUGAAGUGUGGACGCCAGUCUGCAUGGAGCCGACCUUGAAAUACCACCCUUUAAUGUUUGAUGUUCUAACGUGGACCCGUGAUCCGGGUUGCGGACAGUGUCUGGUGGGUAGUUUGACUGGGGCGGUCUCCUCCUAAAGAGUAACGGAGGAGCACGAAGGUUGGCUAAUCCUGGUCGGACAUCAGGAGGUUAGUGCAAUGGCAUAAGCCAGCUUGACUGCGAGCGUGACGGCGCGAGCAGGUGCGAAAGCAGGUCAUAGUGAUCCGGUGGUUCUGAAUGGAAGGGCCAUCGCUCAACGGAUAAAAGGUACUCCGGGGAUAACAGGCUGAUACCGCCCAAGAGUUCAUAUCGACGGCGGUGUUUGGCACCUCGAUGUCGGCUCAUCACAUCCUGGGGCUGAAGUAGGUCCCAAGGGUAUGGCUGUUCGCCAUUUAAAGUGGUACGCGAGCUGGGUUUAGAACGUCGUGAGACAGUUCGGUCCCUAUCUGCCGUGGGCGCUGGAGAACUGAGGGGGGCUGCUCCUAGUACGAGAGGACCGGAGUGGACGCAUCACUGGUGUUCGGGUUGUCAUGCCAAUGGCACUGCCCGGUAGCUAAAUGCGGAAGAGAUAAGUGCUGAAAGCAUCUAAGCACGAAACUUGCCCCGAGAUGAGUUCUCCCUGACCCUUUAAGGGUCCUGAAGGAACGUUGAAGACGACGACGUUGAUAGGCCGGGUGUGUAAGCGCAGCGAUGCGUUGAGCUAACCGGUACUAAUGAACCGUGAGGCUUAACCU